ACGGGUAUAGCUCAGUGGUAGAGUGCAUGCCUAGCAUGCACAAGGUCCUGGGUUCAAUCCCCAGUACCUCCA
This 72-nucleotide transfer RNA is filed under the name Camelus bactrianus (Bactrian camel). It matches the Rfam family "tRNA". Rfam says of the family: Transfer RNA (tRNA) molecules are approximately 80 nucleotides in length. RNAcentral also lists the same sequence under 3 other names. The record is from Rfam by way of RNAcentral. Lineage: Eukaryota; Metazoa; Chordata; Mammalia; Artiodactyla; Camelidae.